Molecule: ribosomal RNA, 811 nt
Filed under: Mycobacterium sp.
Lineage: Bacteria; Bacillati; Actinomycetota; Actinomycetes; Mycobacteriales; Mycobacteriaceae
Description: bacterial SSU rRNA
Rfam family: Bacterial small subunit ribosomal RNA
Source: RNAcentral
UGAGUAACACGUGGGUGANCUGCCCUGCACUCUGGGAUAAGCCUGGGAAACUGGGUCNAAUACCGGAUAGGACCACACANUUCAUGGUGAGUGGUGCAAAGCNNUUUUGCGGUGUGGGAUGAGCCCGCGGCCUAUCAGCUUGUUGGUGGGGUAAUGGCCCACCAAGGCGACGACGGGUAGCCGGCCUGAGAGGGUGACCGGCCACACUGGGACUGAGAUACGGCCCAGACUCCUACGGGAGGCAGCAGUGGGGAAUAUUGCACAAUGGGCGCAAGCCUGAUGCAGCGACGCCGCGUGAGGGAUGACGGCCUUCGGGUUGUAAACCUCUUUCAGUAGGGACGAAGCGAAAGUGACGGUACCUACAGAAGAAGGACCGGCCAACUACGUGCCAGCAGCCGCGGUAAUACGUAGGGUCCGAGCGUUGUCCGGAAUUACUGGGCGUAAAGAGCUCGUAGGUGGUUUGUCGCGUUGUUCGUGAAAACUCACAGCUUAACUGUGGGCGUGCGGGCGAUACGGGCAGACUAGAGUACUGCAGGGGAGACUGGAAUUCCUGGUGUAGCGGUGGAAUGCGCAGAUAUCAGGAGGAACACCGGUGGCGAAGGCGGGUCUCUGGGCAGUAACUGACGCUGAGGAGCGAAAGCGUGGGUAGCGAACAGGAUUAGAUACCCUGGUAGUCCACGCCGUAAACGGUGGGUACUAGGUGUGGGUUUCCUUCCUUGGGAUCCGUGCCGUAGCUAACGCAUUAAGUACCCCGCCUGGGGAGUACGGUCGCAAGACUAAAACUCAAAGGAAUUGACGGGGGCCCGCACAA